This 200-nucleotide ribosomal RNA is filed under the name uncultured bacterium. Its description in RNAcentral is "partial 16S ribosomal RNA". It matches the Rfam family "Bacterial small subunit ribosomal RNA", at positions 29 to 256 of the family's 1533-position model. The record is from RNAcentral.
AACGAACGCUGGCGGCAGGCCUAACACAUGCAAGUCGAACGGGAUAGCAAUAUCCAGUGGCAGACGGGUGAGUAACACGUGGGAACCUUCCUUAUAGUAAAGAAUAGCCCAGGGAAACUUGGAUUAAUACUUUAUACGCCCUACGGGGGAAAGAUUUAUCGCUAUAAGAUGGGCCCGCGUUAGAUUAGCUAGUUGGUGAG